Long non-coding RNA from Dicentrarchus labrax (European seabass), 713 nucleotides. RefSeq lists it as uncharacterized. The transcript is spliced from 2 exons. NCBI's taxonomy places the organism in Eukaryota, Metazoa, Chordata, Actinopteri, Moronidae. The record is from RefSeq and is a predicted model, not a curated record.
UGCCGACAGGUAGCUCCUCACUGCUACUGAGUUUAGCUGCAUUUCUACCGUCAAUAUUAAUUCAAUAACUGCUUCUAAAGCAAAAACUUCACCAGCGGACAUGUUUGAGCGGGAGUCUGACCUGAAAUCACGGAGAAAUGAACAACAUCAACAAUCAGGAUUACAGCUUUCUGUGACGUUUUCCUCAGGUACAGCAGUGAGCAGUGACCUACAGUCUACACAGCCCAGUGAAGUUAAACAUAUUAUAUAUUACAUAAUAUUAACAUUAGUCAAGCAGUUGUUUUUAGUGAAGAAACACCCAGUAAAUGUACCAAAGUAAUCAGAGUAAUAGUAUAAUGAUUACUGUAACCUCCCAUCUGUUAUAUUCUUUAUACACAUUAGUUUACUGAGACCAUGGAAACAGAAACCUGGAAUACUUGAUCCUGUACAACAUGUCAACAUAACUGAAGGAAUCACUCAUCUAAUAAAGUAAAUUGUUUAUGGGGUUGAAAAACUGCUAAGUAACCAACUGUUAACGGUACUGUAUCCAUAUUUCAUAGUCUGAAAUUUUAACUAAGUAUUAUUACCAAAGUUAUCCUUCAGAUAUUUGUAAAAGCUGCAAUUAUGUUUGAACCCCAUUAAAAAUACUGUAUACUGAAUAUUCUAUCACUUAUAUUAUAUAUUGUGAUGUAAUUUAUCUUCCAACAUAAUAAAGUUUGAAUAUGAGACAGUAA